AUUGAACGCUGGCGGCAGGCUUAACACAUGCAAGUCGAGCGGAGAUGAGGUGCUUGCACCUUAUCUUAGCGGCGGACGGGUGAGUAAUGCUUAGGAAUCUGCCUAUUAGUGGGGGACAACAUUCCGAAAGGAAUGCUAAUACCGCAUACGCCCUACGGGGGAAAGCAGGGGAUCUUCGGACCUUGCGCUAAUAGAUGAGCCUAAGUCGGAUUAGCUAGUUGGUGGGGUAAAGGCCUACCAAGGCGACGAUCUGUAGCGGGUCUGAGAGGAUGAUCCGCCACACUGGGACUGAGACACGGCCCAGACUCCUACGGGAGGCAGCAGUGGGGAAUAUUGGACAAUGGGCGGAAGCCUGAUCCAGCCAUGCCGCGUGUGUGAAGAAGGCCUUUUGGUUGUAAAGCACUUUAAGCGGGGAGGAGGCUACCUGGAUUAAUACUCUAGGAUAGUGGACGUUACUCGCAGAAUAAGCACCGGCUAACUCUGUGCCAGCAGCCGCAGUAA
RNAcentral lists this ribosomal RNA (501 nucleotides) under uncultured bacterium. RNAcentral describes it as "partial 16S ribosomal RNA". It matches the Rfam family "Bacterial small subunit ribosomal RNA", at positions 30 to 523 of the family's 1533-position model. The record is from RNAcentral.